UGGGGAAUAUUGGACAAUGGGCGCAAGCCUGAUCCAGCCAUGCCGCGUGAGUGAUGAAGGCCCUAGGGUUGUAAAGCUCUUUCACCGGUGAAUAUAAUGACGGUAACCGGAGAAGAAGCCCCGGCUAACUUCGUGCCAGCAGCCGCGGUAAUACGAAGGGGGCUAGCGUUGUUCGGAUUUCCUGGGCGUAAAGCGCACGUAGGCGGACUUUUAAGUCAGGGGUGAAAUCCCGGGGCUCAACCCCCGAACUGCCUUUGAUACUGGAAGUUUUGGUGAUGGUAGCGGUGAGUGGAAUUCCUGGUUUAGAGGUGAAAUUCGUAGAUAAUCGGAGGAACACCAGUGGCGAAGGCGGCUCACUGGACCAUUACUAACGCUAGGGUGCAAAAGCGUGGGGGGCAAACAGG
RNAcentral lists this ribosomal RNA (404 nucleotides) under Actinomycetes bacterium. RNAcentral's name for it is "Actinobacteria bacterium partial 16S ribosomal RNA". It matches the Rfam family "Bacterial small subunit ribosomal RNA", at positions 355 to 776 of the family's 1533-position model. Lineage: Bacteria; Bacillati; Actinomycetota; Actinomycetes. The record is from RNAcentral.